AUUGAACGCUGGCGGCAUGCCUUACACAUGCAAGUCGAACGCGAAAGGGGGGCAACCCCUGAGUAGAGUGGCGCACGGGUGAGUAAUGCAUCGGAACGUGUCCUGUAGCGGGGGAUAACCUAGCGAAAGCUAGGCUAAUACCGCAUACGCCCUAAGGGGGAAAGUGGGGGAUCGUAAGACCUCACACUAUAGGAGCGGCCGAUGCCGGGUUAGCUAGUUGGUGGGGUAAAAGCUCACCAAGGCGACGAUCCGUAGCUGGUCUGAGAGGAUGAUCAGCCACACUGGGACUGAGACACGGCCCAGACUCCUACGGGAGGCAGCAGUUGGGAAUUUUGGACAAUGGGGGAAACCCUGAUCCAGCCAGGCCGCGUGAGUGAAGAAGGCCUUCGGGUUGUAAAGCUCUUUCGGCCGGGACGAAAUCGCACGCGUGAUUAUCGUGUGCGGAUGACGGUACCGGCAGAAGAAGGACCGGCUAACUACGUGCCAGCCGCCGCAGUAA
RNAcentral lists this ribosomal RNA (499 nucleotides) under uncultured bacterium. RNAcentral describes it as "partial 16S ribosomal RNA". It matches the Rfam family "Bacterial small subunit ribosomal RNA", at positions 29 to 523 of the family's 1533-position model. The record is from RNAcentral.